RNAcentral lists this ribosomal RNA (253 nucleotides) under uncultured bacterium. RNAcentral's name for it is "partial 16S ribosomal RNA". It matches the Rfam family "Bacterial small subunit ribosomal RNA", at positions 524 to 776 of the family's 1533-position model. The record is from RNAcentral.
UACGUAGGGGGCGAGCGUUGUCCGGAUUUACUGGGCGUAAAGAGCGCGCAGGCGGUUGGUCAAGUCGAGUGUGAAAGCCCCCGGCUCAACUGGGGAGGGUCACUCGAUACUGAUCGACUCGAAGGCAGGAGAGGGAAGCGGAAUUCCCGGUGUAGUGGUGAAAUGCGUAGAUAUCGGGAGGAACACCAGUGGCGAAGGCGGCUUUCUGGCCUGUUCUUGACGCUGAGGCGCGAAAGCUAGGGUAGCAAACGGG